AGCGAACGCUGGCGGCGUACUUAACACAUGCAAGUCGAACGAGGAUCAUCGGGUUAGCAAUAAUUCGGUGGUCCUAGUGGCGCACGGGUGAGUAACACGUGGGUGACCUGCCCUUGAGCUCGGGAUACCCCCUCGAAAGGGGGGCGUAAUACCGGAUACGUUCCUCGGUCGAAAGACUGAGGAGGAAAGGUGGCGCAAGCUGCCGCUCUUGGAGGGGCUCGCGGCCUAUCAGCUAGUUGGCGGGGUAACGGGCCCACCAAGGCUAUGACGGGUAGCUGGUCUGAGAGGACGACCAGCCACACGGGGACUGAGACACGGCCCCGACUCCUACGGGAGGCAGCAGUGGGGAAUUUUCCGCAAUGGGCGAAAGCCUGACGGAGUGACGCCGCGUGUGGGACGAAGGCCUUCGGGUCGUAACC
Molecule: ribosomal RNA, 419 nt
Filed under: uncultured bacterium
Lineage: Bacteria
Description: bacterial SSU rRNA
Rfam family: Bacterial small subunit ribosomal RNA
Source: RNAcentral